GUGGGGAAUCUUGCGCAAUGGGCGAAAGCCUGACGCAGCCAUGCCGCGUGAAUGAUGAAGGUCUUAGGAUUGUAAAAUUCUUUCACCGGGGACGAUAAUGACGGUACCCGGAGAAGAAGCUCCGGCUAACUUCGUGCCAGCAGCCGCGGUAAUACGAAGGGGGCUAGCGUUGCUCGGAAUUACUGGGCGUAAAGGGCGCGUAGGCGGACAGCUUAGUCAGAGGUGAAAGCCCAGGGCUCAACCUUGGAAUUGCCUUUGAUACUGGCUGUCUUGAGUUUGGGAGAGGUGAGUGGAAAUCCGAGUGUAGAGGUGAAAUUCGUAGAUAUUCGGAAGAACACCAGUGGCGAAGGCGACUCACUGGCCCAAUACUGACGCUGAGGUGCGAAAGCGUGGGGAGCAAACAGGAUUAGAAACCCGAGUAGUCC
RNAcentral lists this ribosomal RNA (425 nucleotides) under uncultured bacterium. Its description in RNAcentral is "partial 16S ribosomal RNA". It matches the Rfam family "Bacterial small subunit ribosomal RNA", at positions 354 to 796 of the family's 1533-position model. The record is from RNAcentral.